RNAcentral lists this unclassified non-coding RNA (200 nucleotides) under Hevea brasiliensis (rubber tree). Lineage: Eukaryota; Viridiplantae; Streptophyta; Magnoliopsida; Malpighiales; Euphorbiaceae. The record is from RNAcentral.
UCAGCAUCCCCGAAUCCGCCAUUGUCGCGCUGACCGCGCUGACUUUCCUGAUCCUCUACAACGCGGUGUCGAUGCGGCUGCGCGAUCGCACCGAUGUCGGCGGCCAGAUCGCGGAUCUGUCGCGCGGCACNNNNNNNNNAGGUCGCCGAGUUCGGACGCCGCAUGAGCGCCAUCGAGACCCGUCUGUCGGCGAUCGACGC